RNAcentral lists this unclassified non-coding RNA (469 nucleotides) under Hevea brasiliensis (rubber tree). Lineage: Eukaryota; Viridiplantae; Streptophyta; Magnoliopsida; Malpighiales; Euphorbiaceae. The record is from RNAcentral.
GCAGCGUAGUUCUGGAUGAUCAGCAGGUUACUUUCUUUUGGACGUUGGCUGAAAAUUCAAUCUCCAUUGCAGCUCGAGGGGAGAAAAAGAGUGGUUAUUUGGCAAUUGGUUUUGGUCGUGGUAUGGUGAAUAGUUAUGCAUACGUGGGCUGGGUUGAUGACACUGGUAACGGGAAAGUAAGCACAUACUGGAUAGAUGGAAGAGAUGCUUCCAAUAUUCACCCAACUCAUGAGAAUUUGACACACGCAAGAUGCAAGUCAGAGAAUGGUAUUAUUACUAUGGAAUUCACCCGUCCACUACGUCCCUCUUGCGAUCUGGACGAUAAGCCAGAGUGCAAUAAUAUUGUUGAUCCAACGACACCACUCAAAGUCAUCUGGGCCAUGGGUGCUCAAUGGUCAGAUGACCAUCUGAGUGUGAGAAAUAUGCACUCCUUCACAAGCAGCAGGCCUAUCAGAGUGCUGCUCAUGCG